This is a long non-coding RNA of Hippocampus comes (tiger tail seahorse), 241 nucleotides long. RefSeq lists it as uncharacterized. The transcript is spliced from 2 exons. The record is from RefSeq and is a predicted model, not a curated record. Lineage: Eukaryota; Metazoa; Chordata; Actinopteri; Syngnathiformes; Syngnathidae.
GGCUUUAAUGGUCGAAGGGGAUUCGCACAGUGACACAGUCCUGCUGGACUGCCGCAAUUUUUACGAGAGUAAAAUUGGUCAAUUCUCGCGCUGUCUGGCCCCCGACAUCCGCAAGUUCAGCUAUUUCCCGGACUACGUGGACAAGAACCUGGAGCUCUUCCGAGACAAGAAGGUGCUUAUGUACUGCACCGGAGGCAUCCGCUGCGAGCGAGGAUCUGCUUACCUCCGCUCUAAAGUGAGC